This 375-nucleotide unclassified non-coding RNA is filed under the name uncultured bacterium. RNAcentral describes it as "contains 16S-23S intergenic spacer region". The record is from RNAcentral.
UCCGGUUUGUCACCGGCAGUCUCCUUAGAGUUCCCACCAUUACGUGCUGGUAACUAAGGACAAGGGUUGCGCUCGUUACGGGACUUAACCCAACAUCUCACGACACGAGCUGACGACAGCCAUGCAGCACCUGUGCUGGCCCCUUACGGACACGGGCUUUCACCCGCUUUAACCAGCAUGUCAAGCCCAGGUAAGGUUCUUCGCGUUGCAUCGAAUUAAGCCACAUGCUCCGCCGCUUGUGCGGGUCCCCGUCAAUUCCUUUGAGUUUAACCUUGCGGCCGUACUCCCCAGGCGGGAUACUUAACGCGUUAGCUGCGGCACAGAGGGGGUUAAUGACCCCCUACACCUAGUAUCCAUCGUUUACAGCGUGGACUA